Molecule: non-coding RNA, 28 nt
Filed under: Homo sapiens (human)
Lineage: Eukaryota; Metazoa; Chordata; Mammalia; Primates; Hominidae
Source: RNAcentral
GAUGGUUUUAUAAGUGUCUGACAGUUCC